CUGCUCAAUGAUUUUUUAAAUUGCUGUGGUAUUUUGACUAUACAAAGGUAUUGAAAUAAGAUUUUAAUUGAAUGCUAAGAGAAUGGAAUUUCAGAAAAAAACUUUUUUCAAGUUAAAAAUUGAAAUUUUUUUAAUUUGUGCAGAAACAAUUAUUAAUAUUAAGGACAAGAAGACCCUAUGAAUUUAUAAAUUUUAUUUAAUAUGUAACUACUAUUAAAAAAAAUUUUGGCUGGGGCGGCAGAAAAAUAUUUAAAACUUUUUUAAAAUAAAAUGACCCAUUAUUAAUGAUUAUAUGUUAAAUACUCUAGGGAUAACAGCGU
Molecule: ribosomal RNA, 320 nt
Filed under: Rhipicephalus sanguineus (brown dog tick)
Lineage: Eukaryota; Metazoa; Arthropoda; Arachnida; Ixodida; Ixodidae
Description: partial 16S ribosomal RNA
Source: RNAcentral